UGUCAUAAGAUUUCCCAAAAAUCAAUCUCAAUGAAGAGGGUGUUGAAAUUAAGGAAACAUUUGAGGGCAUUCCAUAACUUUUUCCCCUUCAAGCAAUAUCACAGACAACCUUCCAACUAAAGUCAAAAAAAUUGAAACCCAUUUUUGAGAGUUGUUGGUGCAACAUCCUAUAACUGACGAAAACGUUAGGAAAUCUGGAGACGUUGUCGGGGACCCUGGGAAGAGUUAUCUUUUAUUUUUAACAGCUUGCCCACCCUGAAAUCGGCUCAACCAGAGAUAGGGUCUAGCAGCUGGAAGAGCAUCACAUGUCUUGCAGUGUUCAGUGCACCCUCGACGACCCUUGAAAAUCUGGAGGACCGAGUACCGUCCAUGCCCGGUCGUACUCAUAACCGCAUCAGGUCUCCAAGGUGAACAACCUUU
Molecule: non-coding RNA, 420 nt
Organism: Picea glauca (white spruce)
Lineage: Eukaryota; Viridiplantae; Streptophyta; Pinopsida; Pinales; Pinaceae
Source: Rfam